GGAAUAAGAUUUGGUCCAAAACAAGUCUCAGCAUGAAGAUCCUUUAUCUGCUGUUCACAUUUCUUUUCCUUACAUUCCUGUCUGAACCAGGGAAUGCCCAGCCUCCUGAGUGUAAGAAGAUAGGAGGACAAUGCUAUCAAAGUAGUUGUCCUGGAAAAAAUAACCAAGGGUGGAAGGACUGUGAGUGGGGCCAGUUGUGCUGUAAUUAAACGCGGAAAUGGAAAAUAAUGCCAUCUCCAUCUACGACCAUGGAUACCUGCAAGAUAUGGCCAAUGACUUGAGAUUAUUGCCUGCUGUCGCUUUAUCUUUCUUUAUAUAAAUCAAAUUGCUACCCAUCAAACUCUAAAACAUUUGUGCAUUGAAAUAAAAUUUGGCAAAUAUUUCUUGAAA
Protobothrops mucrosquamatus (brown spotted pit viper) is the source of this 390-nucleotide long non-coding RNA. RefSeq lists it as uncharacterized. The record is from RefSeq and is a predicted model, not a curated record. NCBI's taxonomy places the organism in Eukaryota, Metazoa, Chordata, Lepidosauria, Squamata, Viperidae. The transcript has 3 exons.